Molecule: ribosomal RNA, 906 nt
Filed under: uncultured bacterium
Lineage: Bacteria
Description: bacterial SSU rRNA
Rfam family: Bacterial small subunit ribosomal RNA
Source: RNAcentral
GAUGAACGCUGGCGGUAUGCUUAACACAUGCAAGUCGUACGAAGAUCUUUGAUUUUAGUGGCGGACGGGUGAGUAACACGUGAGAAUCUGCCCUUAGGAAGAGGAUAACAGCUGGAAACGGUUGCUAAUACUCUAUACGCCGAGAGGUAAAAGGAUUUAUCCACCUUAGGAAGAGCUCGCGUCUGAUUAGCUUGUUGGUAAGGUAACGGCUUACCAAGGCGACGAUCAGUAGCUGGUUUGAGAGGACGACCAGCCACACUGGGACUGAGACACGGCCCAGACUCCUACGGGAGGCAGCAGUGGGGAAUUUUCCGCAAUGGGCGAAAGCCUGACGGAGCAAUACCGCGUGAGGGAUGAAAGCCUGUGGGUUGUAAACCUCUUUUCCCAAGGAAGAAAUUCUGACGGUACUUGAGGAAUAAGCAUCGGCUAACUCUGUGUCGGCAGCCGCGGUAAUACAGAGGAUGCAAGCGUUAUCCGGAAUCACUGGGCAUAAAGCGUCUGUAGGUCGCUUGCCAAGUCUGCUGUUAAAGAUCAGGGCCUAACCCUGGGAAAGCAGUGGAAACUAGCAAGCUUGAGUGUGGUAGAGGUAGAGGGAAUUCCUGGUGUAGCGGUGAAAUGCGUAGAUAUUAGGAAGAACACCAAUGGCGAAAGCACUCUACUGGGCCAUAACUGACACUGAGAGACGACAGCUAGGGGAGCAAAUGGGAUUAGAUACCCCAGUAGUCCUAGCCGUAAACGAUGGAUACUAGGUGUUGCACGUAUUAACCCGUGCAGUAUCGUAGCUAAAGCGUUAAGUAUCCCGCCUGGGAAGUACGCUCGCAGAGUGAAACUCAAAGGAAUUGACGGGGCCCGCACAAGCGGUGGAGUAUGUGGUUUAAUUCGAUGCAACGCGAGAACCUUACCAGG